RNAcentral lists this ribosomal RNA (482 nucleotides) under uncultured bacterium. RNAcentral's name for it is "partial 16S ribosomal RNA". It matches the Rfam family "Bacterial small subunit ribosomal RNA", at positions 28 to 507 of the family's 1533-position model. The record is from RNAcentral.
GACGAACGCUGGCGGCGUGCUUAACACAUGCAAGUCGAACGAUGAAGAAGAGAAACGCGAACUUCGGUUCAAAUUUCACUUCGGAUUAGUGGCAGACGGGUGAGUAACGCGUGAGCAACCUACCUCUUACAAAGGGAUAGCCUCGGGAAACCGUGAUUAAUACCAUAUGACACCUUCAUAAGGCAUCUUAAGAAUGUUAAAGCUACGGCGGUAAGAGAUGGGCUCGCGUCCCAUUAGCUAGUUGGUGAGGUAACGGCCCACCAAGGCGACGAUGGGUAACCGGGAUGAGAGGGUGAACGGUCACAUUUGAACUGAGACACGGUCCGAAAUCCUACGGGAAGCAGCAGUGGGGAAUAUUGCACAAUGGAGGGAACGCUGAUGCAGCGACGACGCGUGAGCGAUGAAGGAAGUCGUUUCGUAAAGCUCUGUUCUAUGGGAAGAAAAGGACUGUACCAUAGGAGAAAGCCCCGGCUAAAUACGUG